AUGCAAGUCGAGCGAACGGAUAAGGAGCUUGCUCCUUUGAAGUUAGCGGCGGACGGGUGAGUAACACGUGGGUAACCUACCUAUAAGACUGGAAUAACUUCGGGAAACCGGAGCUAAUGCCGGAUAACAUUUGGAACCGCAUGGUUCUAAAGUAAAAGAUGGUUUUGCUAUCACUUAUAGAUGGACCCGCGCCGUAUUAGCUAGUUGGUAAGGUAACGGCUUACCAAGGCAACGAUACGUAGCCGACCUGAGAGGGUGAUCGGCCACACUGGAACUGAGACACGGUCCAGACUCCUACGGGAGGCAGCAGUAGGGAAUCUUCCGCAAUGGACGAAAGUCUGACGGAGCAACGCCGCGUGAGUGAUGAAGGUUUUCGGAUCGUAAAACUCUGUUAUUAGGGAAGAACAAAUGUGUAAGUAACUGUGCACAUCUUGACGGUACCUAAUCAGAA
RNAcentral lists this ribosomal RNA (451 nucleotides) under Staphylococcus equorum. RNAcentral's name for it is "bacterial SSU rRNA". It matches the Rfam family "Bacterial small subunit ribosomal RNA", at positions 55 to 488 of the family's 1533-position model. The record is from RNAcentral. Lineage: Bacteria; Bacillati; Bacillota; Bacilli; Caryophanales; Staphylococcaceae.